UAGGGAAUAUUGGUAAUCUGCGAAAGCGGGAACCAGCAACGCCGCGUGCGCGAUGACGGCCUUCGGGUUGUAAAGCGCUUUUCAAGAGGAAGAGGAAGGACUGUACUCUUGGAAUAAGUCUCGGCUAACUACGUGCCAGCAGCCGCGGUAACA
Molecule: ribosomal RNA, 153 nt
Filed under: uncultured bacterium
Lineage: Bacteria
Description: partial 16S ribosomal RNA
Rfam family: Bacterial small subunit ribosomal RNA
Source: RNAcentral